UACUAGUUUCCUAGUCAGUCCCACCAGAGUGCUCUCAUUACUGAGAUAGCAACUGGCGGCAGGGGUUGCGCUCGUUAGAGGACUUAACCUAACAUCUCACGACACGAGCUGACGACAGCCAUGCAGCACCUGUGUAUUUGUCCGAGUUACCCCGGAAAACCAUAUCUCUACAGUGGUCAAAUACAUGUCAAACCUAGGUAAGGUUUCUCGCGUAGUGUCGAAUUAAACCACAUGUUCCACCGCUUGUGCGGACCCCCGUCAAUUUCUUUGAGUUUUAAUCUUGCGACCGUACUACUCAGGCGGAUCACUUAACGCGUUAGCUACGACACAGAACUUGCAAGCAAGUCCCAUAUCUAGUGAUCAUCGUUUACGGCGUGGACUAC
Molecule: unclassified non-coding RNA, 383 nt
Filed under: uncultured bacterium
Lineage: Bacteria
Description: contains 16S-23S intergenic spacer region
Source: RNAcentral